Arvicola amphibius (Eurasian water vole) is the source of this 2901-nucleotide long non-coding RNA. RefSeq lists it as uncharacterized. The record is from RefSeq and is a predicted model, not a curated record. The transcript is spliced from 3 exons. NCBI's taxonomy places the organism in Eukaryota, Metazoa, Chordata, Mammalia, Rodentia, Cricetidae.
GCGGCGCCUCGCCCUGGGGCGGGUGUCCGGCGCUCUGGAGAGAUCGCUGUGCGAGCGAGGCUAGCGGACUCGGCUUCGGGCCGAGAACCUUGAAGAAUUUUGCAGAACCCUGCUACCUAUGGACUCUGAAAUGGGCUUCAUGUAAAGAAACCCCCGACGCAUUCACGGACAAAACAUGAGUGAGUUUGUGUUGUGGCAGUCACAUCCUAACACUUCGGGAGAGGAACUCACAGUUGAGAGGUUGCCUCAAAUCUCGAGUAAGACUUCGGACUUUGAACAGUGUUGGAAUUGUUAAACACUAUGGGGACCUUUGAAGUUGUAUUGAACAUAUUUCUGCAUUCUAAGAUGGCAAUGAGGGCUGGCAGGAAAACUCAGAAAGUAUUGCUUUACCUUUUGACCAGUUUGAUCUCCAAGACCAACUUGUAGAAGGAGAGAAUCAACUCUUGGAACUUGUCUUCUGACCUUUAUGUGUGUGUUAUGGGGCAUGCAUACACCACACACACACACACACACACACACACACACACACAGUAAAUAAAAAAUUUUAGCAGAUGGCCAUGAAAUUCUGGAAAGAAGGUUUGAAAGGCCUAUGACUUCAGAUUGGUAUGUUUGGGUAUCAGGGGGACAAAGGAUGGAGUUGUGGUUUGUGUUGGUAGUCAACUUGGUAGGAUCUAGAAUCUCCUAGGACACAAGCCACUUAUUAUUAUCUUGUUUAAGUUACUAGAGGUAGGGGGAGCCACCCUAAAAGUGUCCAGCAUCAUCAUGGGCUUUCAUCCGGGACUUCAUGGAGAGAAGAAAGUGGGCAGAGUGCCAGCAUUCACUGCCUGCUCCUCCCGACUUUGGACGCAGUGUGACCAGCUGCUCGAGCUCCUGAAGCCUUGACCUCUUGGCACAGCGGGCCGCACUCUCGAACUGUGAGCUACUGUGCAGCCUUCCUUCCUUAGGUCCCUGAUGGGUGCUCAUCACAGCAACAGAACAGGUGACCAGGACCCUGGUCCAGGCAUCUCUUCUAGAAAUGCCAGAGCUCUUCCGCUCUUCUGAAGCAUUAGGACCUCUGUGUUUGAGAUUCCUUACAUGUGAGGUGCUCUUAUCUUAGAUACCUGUGUGCAUUGACCAUUCAUUUCUUCAUGGCCUUCGGGUCUUUCAGUGUGCCUUCUCUAACCAUCUUUGUUUGUUUGUUUGGUUUUUCAAGACAGGGUUUCUCUGUAGCCUUGGAGCCUGUCCUGGAACUAGCUCUUGUAGACCAGGCUGGCCUCGAACUCACAGAGAUCCACCUGCCUCUGCCUGCCAAAUGCUGGGAUUAAAGGCGUGUGCCACCGCCUCCUGGCUCCAACUCUAACCAUUUUAUUUUAAUAGCACAGCAUUUGUAUUCCUUCUUUGCUCUGUUAUCCAUGCAUCCAUCUCAGAUUGACAUCCUCUUCACUAGUGUUUCCCCAGGACUGUGAACAGUGACACAAGGAGACCCUCAGAAUAUGUCUGUUAGGUGGGUGCAUUUAGCCUGUACUAGCAGGUAUGUGUGUAAGACAGUGCGGUCUGGGGCACGAACUGAGGUUCUUUUAUUUAAAAAUUGCUUUGAAGAAUGGGUUUAAUUUAUAUUCUGCUUUGUCCUAAAAGACAGUUGAAAUAGCUGUAGUCCAGCAUUGAGAAGAAGACAUAUGCAGAGACCAAAACAGAGAAUGUAAUAGAACUUCAAACCGGGUAAUGUUAAUACGCAGAAGGUCCUCACAGUGGCAAAAGGCAGGUUGUGCAUUUGAGUCAUUGAAAGUUAUUUUGCUCAGAUAUGGCUGUACUAGAAUCAUGAACUUCAUUCUGCAGGACAGGUCACAGGUACUUGAGUCCAGAACCCUGAAAAACUAUUUACCUAGGAGGACACUUGAAAUUUCUCUCCUAGAAAUAGCUUCCUGUGUUAAAUCCCUGCAGGUCUCUUCAUUGUCAUAGCUUGCUGCACCUGAGAGCUGGCUGUCACCGGAACCAGCAGCUUCUGAUAUCAUGUCUAAACAUUUGUGGAGUUGAUGCAGACUUGGUGACUGGAUAUAUUUGAAAGUCCUUUGUCAAAGAUUUUAACCAGUACACGAAUUGCCAGCUCUUCCUGCUCCAGCCAUGAGGAGGGCGAGAGUCCAGAAGUUGUGCCUGCCUGCCUUUUGAGGAGGACAGUCGGCACCUUGUGUGUAGGUUCUUCCACAUUAGUAACUGCGCUGGGGAGGAGGGCGGGAGUAAGGAGGCCAGUUAGGUUUCACUAAUGCAGUAAUCGAAUUCUGUGCUAUUUUGUGUGUGCAUGUGGAUUCCAUGAGACAUUGCACUUAGAGCACACAUCUUCUUGUUCAUGGUAAGUACAUUUCCUUUGUCCUUUUUACCAGUGAGUGUGAGAAUUGUGAGAGCCGCAGGCCAGAGACAGGGAGGGACAGAGAUGGACUACAGACCACAUUCCCUGAGCAGAACUGAUAGUUGGAGACAAAAGAUGAUUCCAUUUAGCCGUGUAGUAAUUAAUAGUACAGUGUGUUGUGAUGUUUUCUUUUUCACCUUGCACUUUCAUUUCUUUGAUGUGGAUAUAAAACUUUUGAAGUCAGGUUGUCUAUACUGCAUCACUUUUCAGAAUUGAAAGAGGAGAACUGUGGUGGUUUGAACAAAAACGGCCCCCAAAGGGAGUGUCACUAUUAAGAGGUGUGGCUUUGUUGGAGUAGGUGUGGUCUUGUUGGAGAAAGUGUAUCACUGUGGAGGUGGGCUUUAAGAUCUCACGCGUGCUCAAGCCACACCUAGUGAGAUAGACCACUCCUGUUACCUGUAUGCAAGAUGCAGAACUUAGCACCCUGUCUACCUACACACCACCAUGUCCCACUGUGAAAAUGGACUGAAGCCCUCUGAACUGUAAACCAGCCCAAUUAAAUGUUUUCCUUUAUAAGA